Molecule: long non-coding RNA, 202 nt
Filed under: Setaria viridis
Lineage: Eukaryota; Viridiplantae; Streptophyta; Magnoliopsida; Poales; Poaceae
Description: long non-coding RNA (SVIR_LNC003378)
Source: RNAcentral
CAAGGGGUGUUAGCUUCGACGAGCUAUCAGUACAACAAGGAUCCUUGCCCUGAUACAAAACCUUCAUAUCAAUCUUUACUGAAACAAGAGUACAUCAAGUUACAUACGAGUACAAGGACUCGGCUUACACGAAGACUACAAGCAACUGCCUACUGGCGGGCUGCAUUUAAGCCUCAGGCUUUUACUAUAUCACAAGGCCACU